RNAcentral lists this ribosomal RNA (513 nucleotides) under uncultured bacterium. Its description in RNAcentral is "partial 16S ribosomal RNA". It matches the Rfam family "Bacterial small subunit ribosomal RNA", at positions 28 to 507 of the family's 1533-position model. The record is from RNAcentral.
GACGAACGCUGGCGGCGUGCUUAACACAUGCAAGUCGAACGAAAAGAGAGAAAGAGCUUGCUCUUUCCGGAAUUGAGUGGCAAACGGGUGAGUAACACGUAAACAACCUGCCUUCAGGAUGGGGACAACAGACGGAAACGACUGCUAAUACCGAAUAAGUUCCAAGAGCCGCAUGGCCCAUGGAAGAAAAGGUGGCCUCUACCUGUAAGCUAUCGCCUGAAGAGGGGUUUGCGUCUGAUUAGCUGGUUGGAGGGGUAACGGCCCACCAAGGCGACGAUCAGUAGCCGGUCUGAGAGGAUGAACGGCCACACUGGAACUGAGACACGGUCCAGACUCCUACGGGAGGCAGCAGUGGGGAAUCUUCCGCAAUGGGCGAAAGCCUGACGGAGCAACGCCGCGUGAGUGAUGACGGCCUUCGGGUUGUAAAACUCUGUGAUCCGGGACGAAAAGGCAGAGUGCGAAGAACAAACUGCAUUGACGGUACCGGAAAAGCAAGCCACGGCUAACUACGUG